GACGAACGCUGGCGGCGUGCUUAACACAUGCCAGUCGAACGGAAAGGCCCUGCUUUUGUGGGGUGCUCGAGUGGCGAACGGGUGAGUAACACGUGAGUAACCUGCCCUUGACUUUGGGAUAACUUCAGGAAACUGGGGCUAAUACCGGAUAGGAGCUCCUGCUGCAUGGUGGGGGUUGGAAAGUUUCGGCGGUUGGGGAUGGACUCGCGGCUUAUCAGCUUGUUGGUGGGGUAGUGGCUUACCAAGGCUUUGACGGGUAGCCGGCCUGAGAGGGUGACCGGCCACAUUGGGACUGAGAUACGGCCCAGACUCCUACGGGAGGCAGCAGUGGGGAAUAUUGCACAAUGGGCGGAAGCCUGAUGCAGCAACGCCACGUGCGGGAUGACGGCCUUCGGGUUGUAAACCGCUUUCGCCUGUGACGAAGCGUGAGUGACGGUAAUGGGUAAAGAAGCACCGGCUAACUACGUG
This 468-nucleotide ribosomal RNA is filed under the name uncultured bacterium. Its description in RNAcentral is "partial 16S ribosomal RNA". It matches the Rfam family "Bacterial small subunit ribosomal RNA", at positions 28 to 507 of the family's 1533-position model. The record is from RNAcentral.